RNAcentral lists this ribosomal RNA (570 nucleotides) under uncultured fungus. RNAcentral describes it as "eukaryotic LSU rRNA". The stretch from base 208 to 361 matches the Rfam family "5.8S ribosomal RNA". Lineage: Eukaryota; Fungi. The record is from RNAcentral.
CGUAACAAGGUCUCCGUAGGUGAACCUGCGGNNNNAUCAUUACACAAAUAUGAAGGCGGGCUGGAACCUCUCGGGGUUACAGCCUUGCUGAAUUAUUCACCCUUGUCUUUUGCGUACUUCUUGCUUCCUUGGUGGGUUCGCCCACCACUAGGACAAACAUAAACCUUUUGUAAUUGCAAUCAGCGUCAGUAACAAAUUAAUAAUUACAACUUUCAACAACGGAUCUCUUGGUUCUGGCAUCGAUGAAGAACGCAGCGAAAUGCGAUAAGUAGUGUGAAUUGCAGAAUUCAGUGAAUCAUCGAAUCUUUGAACGCACAUUGCGCCCUUUGGUAUUCCAAAGGGCAUGCCUGUUCGAGCGUCAUUUGUACCCUCAAGCUUUGCUUGGUGUUGGGCGUCUUGUCUCUAGCUUUGCUGGAGACUCGCCUUAAAGUAAUUGGCAGCCGGCCUACUGGUUUCGGAGCGCAGCACAAGUCGCACUCUCUAUCAGCAAAGGUCUAGCAUCCAUUAAGCCUUUUUUUCAACUUUUGACCUCGGAUCAGGUAGGGAUACCCGCUGAACUUAAGCAUAUCA